UACGAAGGGUGCUAGCGUUGUUCGGAAUUACUGGGCGUAAAGCGCGCGUAGGCGGCUUUUCAAGUCAGGGGUGAAAUCCCACAGCUCAACUGUGGAAUUGCCUUUGAAACUGUAAAGCUUGAGUGUCGGAGGGGAUAGCGGAAUUGCUAAUGUAGAGGUGAAAUUCGUAGAUAUUAGCAGGAACACCGGUGGCGAAGGCGGCUAUCUGGACGACAACUGACGCUGAGGCGCGAAAGCGUGGGGAUCAAACAGG
Molecule: ribosomal RNA, 253 nt
Filed under: uncultured bacterium
Lineage: Bacteria
Description: partial 16S ribosomal RNA
Rfam family: Bacterial small subunit ribosomal RNA
Source: RNAcentral